This 76-nucleotide transfer RNA is filed under the name Segatella copri. Its description in RNAcentral is "tRNA-Thr". It matches the Rfam family "tRNA". From Rfam's summary of the family: Transfer RNA (tRNA) molecules are approximately 80 nucleotides in length. Their secondary structure includes four short double-helical elements and three loops (D, anti-codon, and T loops). Further hydrogen bonds mediate the characteristic L-shaped molecular structure. tRNAs have two regions of fundamental functional importance: the anti-codon, which is responsible for specific mRNA codon recognition, and the 3' end, to which the tRNAs corresponding amino acid is attached (by aminoacyl-tRNA synthetases). tRNAs cope with the degeneracy of the genetic code in two manners: having more than one tRNA (with a specific anti-codon) for a particular amino acid; and 'wobble' base-pairing, i.e. permitting non-standard base-pairing at the 3rd anti-codon position. The record is from RNAcentral. Lineage: Bacteria; Pseudomonadati; Bacteroidota; Bacteroidia; Bacteroidales; Prevotellaceae.
GCUGGUGUAGCUCAGCUGGAAGAGCAGGGAUUUUGUAAGUCUCAGGUCGGGGGUUCGAAUCCGUCCACCAGCUCCA